RNAcentral lists this long non-coding RNA (4846 nucleotides) under Sus scrofa (pig). RNAcentral describes it as "lncRNA (ENSSSCG00000054268.1)". Lineage: Eukaryota; Metazoa; Chordata; Mammalia; Artiodactyla; Suidae. The record is from RNAcentral.
AGCCUCUGCCUCGCGGCCCUGAUAAAGCACACAGGCCAGAGCCCAGUAGUGCUUAGGAGAUGCGCUGUUUCAGGACAGCAUCUUCCAUCCUAGGCAUGGUGCACUUUUCUGUUCAUAUGCUUGACAGCAGCCACUCAGAAGUUACCUAUGUAUUCGCUCCUUUCCCACAGAUCCUCGAGAGUUUGAAAAGUUAUUUUUCUUAUGUUUAUCAGAUUGUACACUCUCAAAGCUCGAAACAUGGACUGGUCCAACGUCCUCAUUGUAAAUAAAGGAAACUAGUCUUCAAGGAGUUAAAAUGACUGGACCCAAGGUUACACAACUUGGAAGUGACAAAACUGAGAUUCAAGCCCAAGUCUCUGAUGCUACCUUCAGUGCUCUUUUUACUAGGAUAUUCCUGUGGUCAGAGAAUGGGGGGCAGGGGCUAUGUCUUAUUCACCUGUCUUAGUGUCUGGAAUCUAUUUUAGUGUCUGGAAAAGUUUAGGAACAAGUGCAUACAUGCACGCUCUUUCUACUCCUCCCUAGUCAAAUACAUAGUAUCGCAACCAAACCAUAAUACCAGUUAUUCUCAAAUAAUUUUUUAUAUUUGUGAGGUUUUGACAGUUAACAAAGUGAUUUUUGACUUGUUUGCUUUGAUUAUCAUAGUAAUUCUGGAGGCAAUAAUACUUGUUCUUUUUUAUACCAAAGGAAACUGAGCCUCAUAGGUCUAGUGGCUCAUUCAAGGUGGCACAGAGGGUCAGGGAAGAAGAUAAGAGUUGGAUCCAGCUCUCCUGGUUUCUAGCCAUGAACCUAGGGCUGUACUUAGCACAUUGUGGGGGGAAAUAGAAGGGUAGUAUGUGGUUCUUGCUCUCAAACUACAGUCCAGUUGUGGAGAUAAGAUCUACCAUCUGAUGUGUGGAGGUAAGUUACAGGUACUGAGGAAAUAGGUAAUGGAUGAAGUGGUACGGCUAUGACUGCUCUGGAAAUUUAAGAGAGGAAGUGGCCCCAAAGGCCUGUGGGAGACUAGAGAAGUCCUCAGAGAACAGAUGGGGGCCAAACUGGCACUGGAGGGUGAAUGUAAUUGUGACGGGUAGAGAGAACAUCGUUCUCAUGAAACGAGGCAGUUUUAAUGCUGGACGAAACUCAGCGGUGAUCACUUCCUACCCCUCCUUUUAUAGACAGGGAGACUGAAAUAGAAGCGAGGGACUCGUUCAGUAUUAUAAAGCCAUUUAUGAAAGACCUUUAUGUGUAGUCCCUGUGGACAGAGGGCAGAUAAGACAGAGUCCAUGCCCUUAGAAGUUUCUCAGGCUAACGGAAGGAGGAACAUGGAAACAAGUAGGUGCAUUCUGGUGUCAUUGAAGGAAUGAUGGAGUCUCUGUGGGGGCUAGUGCGGUUGCUAAGGAGGGUGCACUGAUUCUAUAGAGUAGCCAGCACAUUUAAAGGUCAAAGGAAUUCAUGUGAACUAGUCAAGGUCGGUCAAGGUCAAGUAGCAGACGCCAAACUCUGUCUCUCAACUGCUGAAACCACUGGCUAGAAGGAAUUUCUGCCUAGUUGUAGCUUAAGCUGGAACAAUGGAGAGAAGCAGACACUGAUGCUGGAAUCUGAGAGGCUGUGUUCCAGUUCUGACUCUGUCUCUUUCUGACUGUGUGGCAUUGAGCUUGUUACUCCCACUUCUAGAAGCAUCAGUUUUUUUGUUAUAAAAUGGAGGGAGGGGCUACUUUGCCCCUUUAAAGGUUGUGGGAGGAUCAGAGAAAAUAUCCAAGUGUAAGUGUUUAGUUACUUAUAAAAUGAUAAAGCAAUAUACAUGUUAAUUGUUAUUAUUCCUUCGGUAUAGAGCUUGAUGUGGAAGAAAAAAUCCUGGGUUGUAGUCAUCACCUCUCUGGCCCCUGCUUUCUUGUCUGUGGAAUGAGAUUAUAACCUGUUCCAUCUACCUUAUAGAAAUGGUAUAAAGUGGAAAAUACCAAGAUAACAAAAUGAUAGGUGUAAACAAACAAAAAGUAUGACUGUAUUCCUGGAUGGGGAUCAGUGAUGGAAUAGAAAGCAAACUGGGCAUUGUUACUGUAAACUCACAUUUGUAUCUUCAAUCCAUUUACAAAGAGCAUUCACAGACAUUAUCCCAUCCAAUUCCCUCAAUAGCUCUGUGAGACGAGCCUGUAGGGAUGAGCCUAUCACAGAUUAUUAGCCUCAUCUCACCGGCGAGAAAACUGAGACUCAGAGGAAGUGAUGAGCCCAGAAGCUGAAUCUCAGCCUGGCCUGGCCUCAGAGUCACCUCCCCUCCUUCCUUUCCAACCACUCCCAAUUUCCUAGUGCCCAGAACUCUGUCUUCAUGUGAGUCAGUUUGAAAGACAGGCUAGUCUUGUUCUUUUAGACUUCCCCCUUGCCAUGGGGAACAGGCAAGAUUUUAUCCCCCAUUCAGCUAGCCCUGGGCGUGCUUGAUAAAAAUCUUUCCCAGAAAUUGGCUAGAGAUCUCACCUGUAUGGGGUACCCCUGCAAACUAAUAAACAGAGCCACCUGUACCUUCAUCUUUGUUCAAAGGAUUCCAGAUGGGAGAAUGACACAGCUGGCACCCUCCUUAGGAUGCUUUCAGCUUCUUAGGCUGUCUUAGCCAAGACAUGCUCUGCUUUGUUCCUGAUCUCAGCUGAGGGCUGUCCUCCCCGUUAUGUAGGCAGGAAGCUAGGGGUUAUUGUCCACUUCUUGUUCGUGCUCCUCUUUUGCUGAAAACUUCCAGUGGCUGGAUCAAGCCAGUCUCCAUGUGUGUUCCCUUCUUCAUAAAGAUCCUAAGAAAGGGAGAAGAGGAGAAUUAUUCCAUAUGGGGAUUUGGGGACAUAAUUGAAUCGUGUUUUGUUAGAAGGUUUACUGCAAAAAAAUCUCUUCCACACUGUGGCCAUGGAACUUUGGGAGGCUGUUAAGCUGGAGCCUUCGGUGAGGCCUGAGUAUACAGAAUCCAGGAAGUAGGGCUUCACUUAGUCUUCUUUCAUCAAGGACAGUAUCUGGGUGUGAAGCAUACAGAUCCAAUUGGGAGGGGAAGGGAUUUUCAGGACCAGAGUUGGUCCAGGCACAGGAAGCACUAAUACCUGCCUCUUGGGGAACAAUUAUUGACAGAUGAUUAUCUUUCAAGGGCAUGCCAGGCACCCUUUCUUUUAGGAUUCAUCCCUGAUCCCCCAUGUUGGCUGGGGGUUCCUCUCUGGGCUCCCUGAUCCCUGGGCUGCUCUCUGUCCCAGCCCUAAUCACAUUGUGCUGUUAGUAUCUGUGUUAAUGACUCUCUCCCUCCAUAGACCACGGGCUUCUCUGCUGCUGGUUCUAGUUCAGCUUCCAGCACAAGGUGGCAUACAGUGGGUUUAGCACUGUGGUUCAGAGCAUGGGCUCUGGAGCCAGCCUGCCUAUGUUUGAUUCCCAGGUUGACCACUCACGAGCCCAAAGACCCAGGGCCAGUCACUUAACCUCUCUGGGUCUUCGUUUCCUCAUCUGUAAAGUGGGAGUAAUAAUGGUAAUUACCUCACCGAAUUGUUACAAAAGUGAAGAAUGUAAACCAUUUCGAGCAAUGCCUGGCACAGAGUCCGUGCUCUGUAAGGGCCAGGUAUCUUUAUCUUGGGUAUUUUGGGUCUUCAUUUUGUAUAAAGCAGAUCUACCUGCAUUAGCAGGUGUGAUUUCAUCCUUCCCUUUCUCCGGUCUGGCUGUGGGAAAGAGUUCUAUGUGUCUAGGCCUGGAGGGCACAGCAGGCCAAGGAAGACUGCAUAGAAGGAUUUAUAAUUGUUUUUGCAAAAUUUGACCCUGAAUCAAGUCUCUGUGUUGUGUGACGUGAAGUGCAAUUAGACUGACUUGUCCGUUCUCUACCCCUAGUCUGCUCAUAUGACACCCAUCUUCUGGGUUCAGAGGGUGCCGAGAGGCCUUGGCUGGUUUGUGUUGAGUGGCCUGGAGGGCUGGGAGGGCAGCCAGUAGGGAAGGGUGAGAAGAAAGUACCAGAAUGCUUCCUUUUAGGGAGGUUAUGGGUAGCAUAGUCCUACUGGAUAUGUCUACAGAACACAUUGUCUGGUACUAUAUAAUGUUUGUUAAAUAAAGUAAAAUAUCUCCCCAAUCAAUCUGGUGAGAGAGGAGACCUGGAACGGCCUUUGGAGUCUGUCUUGGCCCUGCCAUUUACUGGUUGUAUGACUUUUGGGAAAUUCAUUUGCCAUUUAUUUUAUUUUUUGCUUUUUAGGGCCGCACCUGCAGUAUAUGGAAAUUCCCAGGCUAGGGGUUGAAUUGGAGCUACAGCUGCCGGCCUACACCACAGCACAGCAAUGACAGAUCCCAGCCACUUCUGCGACCUACACACCACAGUGCAUGGCAACACUGGAUUCUUAACCCACUAAGGAAGUCCAGGGAUCAAAUCCAAAUCCUCAUGGAUGCUAGUUGGGUUUGUAACCUGUUGAGCCACAAUGGGAACUCUGUAAUUUGCCAUUUAAACCUCAGUUUCUGGAAAAUGAGGGGCUUAAAAGUCAAUGGUCUCUUCUUUAAGUUUCACUUUGAAAGUGGAGUUCCCGUCGUGGCUCAGGGGAAAUGAAUCCGACUAGGAACCAUGAGGUAGCAGGUUCGAUCCCUGGCCUCCCUCAGUGGAUUAAGGAUCCGGUGUUGCUGUGAGCUGUGGUGUAGUUCGCAGACUCAGCUCAGAUCUGGCGUUGCUGUGGCUGUGGUGUAGGCCGGCAGCUGUAGCUCCGUUUGGACCCCUACCUUGGGAACCCCCAUAUGCUGCAGGUGUGGCCCUGGAAAGACCAAAAAAAAAAAAAAAAAGAAAGUGGAAAUUUCUUUUUUUCCUCCCUCGUGGUACAAUGCAAACUAAUAUUUUACUCUAUACUGACUCUCACUAAAGAAUUUCAAUGUUUCUUCCCAAAAU